Molecule: ribosomal RNA, 210 nt
Filed under: uncultured bacterium
Lineage: Bacteria
Description: partial 16S ribosomal RNA
Rfam family: Bacterial small subunit ribosomal RNA
Source: RNAcentral
UCCGUAGACUGUAAAGUAAGUUACUAGUUUUAAAACUUUAAAGCCUAACUUUAAAAUAGCUUGUAAUACUGCUUUACUAUGAGUUUUAUACAGAAGAGUAAAAUUUUAUACGUAAGGGUAAAAUCUAAAAAUAUAUAAAGGAAUGCCAUAAGCGAAGGCAACUCUUUGGUAAAAACUGACGUUGAGGGACGAAAGUGUAGGGAGCAAACA